UCCAUCUUUUUGCCACGUAUUGCCGGCCCCCAUACGUACUCAACCCUAUAAAUCAAACCCUUACAUUUCAGAGUUGAAUCGUUUAAGAAAAAAUGCCAGACCAUCCACCACCACCACACGGCGGCCACGGUCACGCACCACCCCCAGGUCCGGGACACCACGAGCCUCCUCCGCCCCAUGGCCAUGCUCCUCCUCCGGGGCCUCAUGCACCUCCUCCGGGACCCCAUGCACCUCCUCCGGGACCCCAUGCACCUCCUCCGGAACCCCAUGCACCUCCUCCGGGACCCCAUGCACCUCCUCAUGAUCCACACAAGCCACAUGACUGUCACCACGGUCACCACCACCCAUGAACCGAACUAGUCAUGAGGCCACGAUCGAGAAGCUAGUCUCAGCAAGUUGUUAUCUAUUUAUCUUUGUGCCUGUAAUGUGAUCUAGCUGCGGUUGUAGUUCUGAGUUGCUGGGUUUACUGGCUUUGCUCCAUUGAUCUCAUCGUUAUGUAAUGACUAAAAUAUGAGGACUAUGUAUGUAUCCAAAAGAAGGCUGAUCAUAUAUGUAUAAUAAGAAGAGUACUGGCUUUGUGGUUUAUGUAUAAUCCGCUUGUGUAAAACUUCUUCUUUUAUCCGUCUAAAUGUGAUGUAUAAUCAGAAAAUAUGGCCAGUUUGUCAUCUUGACCAACCUGAACUUACAAACUAAUUAAUUAAGUCAAUCUCCCCAAUUUCAUCAAUCUUCAUUAGGAUUUCAUCACUAGCUCAUUCCUUCACAGAUAAUUAACCAUUUGCUCGAUUGCUCUUAACAAACUGUAAUAGCCAAGAGGCAAACGCAUCCAUCUAAAUUCUAAAAAGUUAUUAACACAGGCUAGGGGUAAAUUAUCCUUUGUUCAGACCAAUCUCACAGUUGAAGCGAUGAAUUGGCUAAAACAAAAGCCUACGGGCAGAAAAACAAAGCAUCUCUAUUCGUACGGAAGAAUGACUUCCAUAUAUAGUAAGCCUUAUAGUUAUAACACCGUAAGUGUAUAAGAAUAGGAAUUCAUAAACGCAAUAAGAAGAAGACCGUGAAAGAGAUCGAAGAUUAAAGCAGGCCUUAAUGUCUUGUAUAUUCUGUACAAAAUUUCAACAGCCAGAUUUUCUCGAUGCAUUCGUCAGCUUCUGUUUGUAACCUUUCUUCUGUCAAAUCCUCCAUGGCUUUUCACGAGCAAUAAUUCUUGCAAGGUCCCAUUAACAAGCCUCACGUACGUUGUUCUUAUCUCCUUUUCCUUAGCUCACCAAGAAUUCAACUAUUACCAAGUGCAGCAACUAGUUUCUGUGAUCGAUCUACGGAAAGUUAAAGUUAUUGCUCAAAAGAGAAAGAGAAAACGGAAGUUAAAGUUCCAUGCUGCCCUAGUUCAAGUACGCACUCAGUUAUGAUCUUGUGGUUCUUACAAUGGAUGAAUGGAUGAAGCAUUACCACACAAAUACUCAGAAGAGAAAAACAAAACAACCACAGUGCACGAUUAACAUGCUAGCUAGCUUUCAUUGUGUGCAAAUAUCCUGAGCUACCAUUCC
RNAcentral lists this long non-coding RNA (1541 nucleotides) under Fragaria vesca (wild strawberry). Its description in RNAcentral is "long non-coding RNA (FVES_LNC000046)". Lineage: Eukaryota; Viridiplantae; Streptophyta; Magnoliopsida; Rosales; Rosaceae. The record is from RNAcentral.